RNAcentral lists this long non-coding RNA (568 nucleotides) under Monodelphis domestica (gray short-tailed opossum). RNAcentral describes it as "lncRNA (ENSMODG00000030560.2)". The record is from RNAcentral. Lineage: Eukaryota; Metazoa; Chordata; Mammalia; Didelphimorphia; Didelphidae.
AACAAGCAGACAAACUCACAAGAGUUUCUAUUUUCUUCUAGAACCAAAAAAAGAACCAGUGAAGUUUAUUAAGGAAAGGUCAGCCUUGUGUUUAAUACAAAUAAAUUGGGAAUGGUAUGGAGGACAAACUGAGAAAUGGAGAGUGGAAGCCAUGGGAUCAAUUAGUAGAAUCUUUCUCCAGAUCAGUGAAGAUACAGAUGUCACAUCAGCUUUCCCAGUCAUCGUUUCAAUAUAUCAUAGGGUGGCAUAAGAAACUGAAUGGGAAUUUUGGAAGAGAUUUGCAGAAGCUGCAGACAAAAAAUAAAGUCAGGAUUCAACAUGGAACGUUUAGGAACUCAGAUAUGCCUAAAAUAUGGGUAUAACACCAGCAGGUUUUCUUUUAAUAUUAUAAAUAUGCAUGAUUUCCUUUUUUAAAGUUAAAAUAAGGAAAAAAAUUAAAGUUUGUGAAAAGAGCAUUAAAGCCAGCAGAUGACACACAAAGGGUAGGAAUAUUAACAUUGAUCUGUGUAUAGCCUAUGACAAAAUACUUAUUCCAAAAUUUAUAAUAAGGUAAUGUAAAUACCCCUUA